GAAAAAUCAGGUAUACUUGUCCCUCCUUAUUGUUAUCCAGGGACCUUUGAUGGAAAAUGAAUAUGUGGCAGAUGUAUGUAAAACAGGAUUUGCCUGUUUGGUUAACUGCGACAUUUUAAUGACUACUCAAUCGCAGAGGAACAACAAUGAGAUCUAAGGCUGUUGACAUCUGACCGCAACAAAGUAUGAAAUAUUCCCAAAUCCGAUUCUUGUAACUCAUUUUGCUAAUUUAGAUGAUGCUCUGCAGCUAGAAGUCCUACAAAUAUAAUCACAGAACUUUAAUGUUGCUACCCUAUGAGAGUCACAGAGUCAAAGAGAUCUACAGUAUAGAAAAAGUCCGUUCAACUCAACCUGCCUGCAUCCUGUCAGAAAUAACCACUAAAUUAUUUGAAUCCCAAUAUCCAGAUUUUCUUUUGUGAUCCUUUUCAAGGGUUUCUCACUGUUAUGCAUUAAAAGUUGUGAACUUGCUCAAGAUGUUCUGCUGU
This is a long non-coding RNA of Chiloscyllium plagiosum (whitespotted bambooshark), 485 nucleotides long. RefSeq lists it as uncharacterized. The record is from RefSeq and is a predicted model, not a curated record. Lineage: Eukaryota; Metazoa; Chordata; Chondrichthyes; Orectolobiformes; Hemiscylliidae.